GCUGCUGUAGCUCAGUGGUAGAGCACUUCAUUGGUAAUGAAGAGGUCGCGGGUUCAAAUCCCGCCAGCAGCUCCA
RNAcentral lists this transfer RNA (75 nucleotides) under Gammaproteobacteria bacterium. RNAcentral's name for it is "tRNA-Thr". It matches the Rfam family "tRNA". From Rfam's summary of the family: Transfer RNA (tRNA) molecules are approximately 80 nucleotides in length. Their secondary structure includes four short double-helical elements and three loops (D, anti-codon, and T loops). The record is from RNAcentral. RNAcentral also lists the same sequence under 2 other names. Lineage: Bacteria; Pseudomonadati; Pseudomonadota; Gammaproteobacteria.